UACGUAGGGUGCGAGCGUUAAUCGGAAUUACUGGGCGUAAAGUGUGCGCAGGCGGCCGAGCAAGUCGAGUGUGAAAUCCCCCGGGCUUAACUUGGGAAUUGCGCUCGAAACUACCUGGCUUGAGUGUGGCAGAGGAAGGUGGAAUUCCACGUGUAGCGGUGAAAUGCGUAGAGAUGUGGAGGAACACCGAUGGCGAAGGCAGCUCGCUGGGACGUUACUGACGCUGAGACGCGAAAAGCGUGGGGAGCAAACAGGG
This 256-nucleotide ribosomal RNA is filed under the name uncultured bacterium. RNAcentral describes it as "partial 16S ribosomal RNA". It matches the Rfam family "Bacterial small subunit ribosomal RNA", at positions 524 to 777 of the family's 1533-position model. The record is from RNAcentral.